UGGUAAGAGUUUGGUUUGUUAAUGUUUUUGAAUGAAUUUUCGGAUUUUUUGUGUGCUUACAGGUGUUUUUUGCGAAGUGAUAACUUUUUAAGAGAAAAAAAUGAUUCCCGUACGACCUUCUGUAACAGAUAAUCCAUUGGCGUUAUCAUGGCACGACAGUGCUUGGAUACCAAUACUAAAUCCAACAAAUAUAAUGGAUUAUUUUGCAGAAAGAACAAAUCCUUUCUACGAUCGUACUUGCAAUAAUGAAACUAUUAAAAUGCAGCGUCUUGGACCAGAGCAUUUAAAAAGUUUGACUGGAAUUGAAUAUAUGCUUUUACACGUUCAGGAACCAAUUUUAUACGUAAUCAGGAAGCAACAUCGUCACGGUCCAGGUCCGAGUGAGGCUACACCAUUAGCAGAUUAUUAUAUUAUUGCUGGUGUUGUUUAUCAGGCUCCGGAUUUAGCAUCAGUUAUUAAUUCCAGACUGUUAUCAACCGUCCAUCAUUUGCAAUCUUCAUUCGAUGAAGUCAGCUCCUGUUCAAGAUACCAUCCUAAUAAAGGAUACUCCUGGGAUUUUAAAAACGGAAAACCAGUUACAGCCAAAAAGGAAACGGUCGUGAGGGAAGAGCCCAGUUCGAUAUUUCAGCGCCAGAGAGUCGAUAUGUUAUUGGCUGAAUUGACACGGAAGUUUCCGAUUCCCGUGCCAAAACCAGUUCAACCUGCUGCCGAACCUGCUGUCGAAAUUAAACAAGAACCGAAGACGGAAAAUAAAAAGGACAUGAAACCACCACCAGAGAAGAAACCGAGGGUCAGUUAGUGAAUAGUGACUUUAAAUGAACAAUUAAUGCAACAGAGUCUCUGUUUAUGAUAUUGACCGAAGGAAGAACUCGAAAGCCUCGACAAAAAAAAAAUUUUCUGUGUCUGAUAACUUCAUUAACUGAAGCAGCAUUAUGCUUACUUCAUCAUCAUACAUUUUUAUUACAAAGUACAAUAAUAUAGAAAGUUAAAAUAGUCAUAAGAUAGGGCUUAAUUAAGUUUUACAGAAGCAGAAACAUGCAGUGUAAAAAAAAAUAGAUACCUGAAUGCUUUUCGGAAUCUCUGAGUAGAAUAUCCUCAAGAAGGGUUGGAUCGCUUCGGCCUUUUGCGUUGAUUGCAUAGACCCUCAGAUAAAAAUGUGUAGCGGGUAAAAGGUCCCCGACAGGUAUUCUAAAUAUCGGCACUUCUGCCGAAAUACUUGACGAAUUAAAGCGCAUUUUUCCACUCGCAAA
Molecule: RNA transcript, 1250 nt
Organism: Belonocnema kinseyi
Lineage: Eukaryota; Metazoa; Arthropoda; Insecta; Hymenoptera; Cynipidae
Gene: MED6
Gene name: mediator of RNA polymerase II transcription subunit 6
Exons: 6
Source: RefSeq, a predicted model, not a curated record